CAGCGAGUGCUCGGGCUGUUGCUGCUUUAAGGAAAUCGGAACCAUUCUCCUCUGCUUGCAAUUUUGUUCCAUUUCUUCUUUCUCGUCGCCCUUGCAGAUCCUUGGUUCAUGUCAGUGCAACAAACAAUGAAGAGGCUGCUGCCAAAGUGGCUGCAGUUAAUGCUGACAGUGGAGCUCCUACCAUAUUUGACAAGAUAAUAGCUAAA
Non-coding RNA from Carica papaya (papaya), 206 nucleotides. The record is from RefSeq and is a predicted model, not a curated record. NCBI's taxonomy places the organism in Eukaryota, Viridiplantae, Streptophyta, Magnoliopsida, Brassicales, Caricaceae.